Molecule: ribosomal RNA, 254 nt
Filed under: uncultured bacterium
Lineage: Bacteria
Description: partial 16S ribosomal RNA
Rfam family: Bacterial small subunit ribosomal RNA
Source: RNAcentral
CACGUAGGCACCAAGCGUUAUCCGGAUUUAUUGGGCGUAAAGAGCUCGUAGGCGGCUUAGCAAGUCGGGUGUGAAACCUCCAGGCUCAACCUGGAGACGCCACUCGAUACUGCUAUGGCUUGAGUUCGGUAGGGGACCAUGGAAUUCCUGGUGUAGCGGUGAAAUGCGCAGAUAUCAGGAGGAACACCGAUGGCGAAGGCAAUGGUCUGGGCCGAUACUGACGCUGAGGAGCGAAAGCGUGGGGAGCGAACAGG